Molecule: ribosomal RNA, 507 nt
Filed under: uncultured bacterium
Lineage: Bacteria
Description: bacterial SSU rRNA
Rfam family: Bacterial small subunit ribosomal RNA
Source: RNAcentral
AGUGAACGCUGGCGGCAGGCCUAAUACUAUGCAAGUCGAACGGCAGCACAGCAGAGCUUGCUCUGUGGGUGGCGAGUGGGCGGACGGGUGAGGAAUACGUGGGAAUCUGCCCAGUCGUGGGGGAUAACGUAGGGAAACUUACGCUAAUACCGCAUGCGCCCUUCGGGGAAAGCCGGGGACCUUCGGGCCUGGCGCGAUUGGAUGAGCCCACGUCGGAUUAGCUAGUUGGCGGGGUAAAGGCCCACCAAGGCGACGAUCCGUAGCUGGUCUGAGAGGAUGAUCAGCCACACUGGAACUGAGACACGGUCCAGACUCCUACGGGAGGCAGCAGUAGGGAAUAUUGGACAAUGGGCGCAAGCCUGAUCCAGCCAUGCCGCGUGAGUGAAGAGGGCCCUCGGGUUGUAAAGCUCUUUUGUCCGGAAAGAAAGCGCCGGGUUAAUACUCUGGUGUCCUGACGGUACCGGAAGAAUAAGCACCGGCUAACUUCGUGCCAGCAGCCGCGGUAAU